This 576-nucleotide ribosomal RNA is filed under the name uncultured bacterium. Its description in RNAcentral is "bacterial SSU rRNA". It matches the Rfam family "Bacterial small subunit ribosomal RNA", at positions 202 to 783 of the family's 1533-position model. The record is from RNAcentral.
CGUGGGUAUCGCGCUCUUGGAUGGGCUCAUGUCCUAUCAGCUUGUUGGUGAGGUAACGGCUCACCAAGGCUUCGACGGGUAGCUGGUCUGAGAGGACGAUCAGCCACACUGGCACUGCGACACGGGCCAGACUCCUACGGGAGGCAGCAGUAAGGAAUAUUGCGCAAUGGGCGAAAGCCUGACGCAGCGACGCCGCGUGGGGGAUGAAGGUCUUCGGAUUGUAAACCCCUUUCGGCAGGGAAGAUGGAACGGGUAACCAUCCGGACGGUACCUCCAGAAGCAGCCACGGCUAACUUCGUGCCAGCAGCCGCGGUAAUACGAAGGUGGCAAGCGUUGUUCGGAUUCACUGGGCGUACAGGGAGCGUAGGCGGUUAGGUAAGCCCUCCGUGAAAUCUCAGGGCCUAACCCGGAAAGUGCAGAGGGGACUGCUCGGCUAGAGGAUGGGAGAGGAGCGCGGAAUUCCCGGUGUAGCGGUGAAAUGCGUAGAGAUCGGGAGGAAGGCCGGUGGCGAAGGCGGCGCUCUGGAACAUUUCUGACGCUGAGGCUCGAAAGCGUGGGGAGCAAACAGGAUUAGAU